GAUGAACGCUGGCGGCGUGCCUAAUUCAUGCAAGUCGAGCGAACAGACGAGGAGCUUGCUCCUCUGACGUUAGCGGCGGACGGGUGAGUAACACGUGGAUAACCUACCUAUAAGACUGGGAUAACUUCGGGAAACCGGAGCUAAUACCGGAUAAUAUAUUGAACCGCAUGGUUCAAUAGUGAAAGACGGUUUUGCUGUCACUUAUAGAUGGAUCCGCGCCGCAUUAGCUAGUUGGUAAGGUAACGGCUUACCAAGGCAACGAUGCGUAGCCGACCUGAGAGGGUGAUCGGCCACACUGGAACUGAGACACGGUCCAGACUCCUACGGGAGGCAGCAGUAGGGAAUCUUCCGCAAUGGGCGAAAGCCUGACGGAGCAACGCCGCGUGAGUGAUGAAGGUCUUCGGAUCGUAAAACUCUGUUAUUAGGGAAGAACAAAUGUGUAAGUAACUAUGCACGCCUUGACGGUACCUAAUCAGAAAGCCACGGCUAACUACGUG
This 497-nucleotide ribosomal RNA is filed under the name uncultured bacterium. RNAcentral's name for it is "partial 16S ribosomal RNA". It matches the Rfam family "Bacterial small subunit ribosomal RNA", at positions 28 to 507 of the family's 1533-position model. The record is from RNAcentral.